CGGAAAAGGGAAAGGCUUAGUGGCGGACGGGGUGAGUAACGCGUGGGUAACCUGGCCCAUACAGGGGGAUAACACUUAGAAAUAGGUGCUAAUACCGCAUAACAACAGAAAGCGCAUGCUUUUUGUUUGAAAACCAAGGUGGUAUGGGAUGGACCCGCGUCUGAUUAGCUGGUUGGCGGGGUAAAGGCCCACCAAGGCGACGAUCAGUAGCCGGCCUGAGAGGGUGGACGGCCACAUUGGGACUGAGACACGGCCCAAACUCCUACGGAAGGCAGCAG
RNAcentral lists this ribosomal RNA (278 nucleotides) under uncultured bacterium. RNAcentral's name for it is "partial 16S ribosomal RNA". It matches the Rfam family "Bacterial small subunit ribosomal RNA", at positions 77 to 354 of the family's 1533-position model. The record is from RNAcentral.